Molecule: ribosomal RNA, 433 nt
Filed under: uncultured Lachnospiraceae bacterium
Lineage: Bacteria; Bacillati; Bacillota; Clostridia; Lachnospirales; Lachnospiraceae
Description: bacterial SSU rRNA
Rfam family: Bacterial small subunit ribosomal RNA
Source: RNAcentral
ACGGAAGGCAGCAGUGGGGAAUAUUGCACAAUGGGGGAAACCCUGAUGCAGCAACGCCGCGUGAGUGAUGAAGUAUUUCGGUAUGUAAAGCUCUAUCAGCAGGGAAGAUAAUGACGGUACCUGACUAAGAAGCUCCGGCUAAAUACGUGCCAGCAGCCGCGGUAAUACGUAUGGAGCAAGCGUUAUCCGGAUUUACUGGGUGUAAAGGGUGCGUAGGCGGCAUGGCAAGUCAGAUGUGAAAUACCGGGGCUCAACCCCGGGGCUGCAUUUGAAACUGCCAGGCUGGAGUACAGGAGAGGCAGGCGGAAUUCCUAGUGUAGCAGUGAAAUGCGUAGAUAUUAGGAGGAACACCAGUGGCGAAGGCGGCCUGCUGGACGACAACUGACGCUGAGGCGCGAAAGCGUGGGAGCAAACAGGAUUAGAUACCCUGGUA